GUAGUUUGAUCCGUGGCUCGAGACGACGCUGGCGGCGUGCUUAACACAUGCAAGUCGAACGGUAAGGCCCUUCGGGGUACACGAGUGGCGAACGGGUGAGUAACACGUGGGUGAUCUGCCCUGCACUUCGGGAUAAGCCUGGGAAACUGGGUCUAAUACCGGAUAGGACUCCUGGCUUCAUGGUUGGGGGUGUAAAGCUUUUGCGGUGUGGGAUGGGCCCGCGGCCUAUCAGCUUGUUGGUGGGGUAAUGGCCUACCAAGGCGACGACGGGUAGCCGGCCUGAGAGGGUGACCGGCCACACUGGGACUGAGAUACGGCCCAGACUCCUACGGGAGGCAGCAGUGGGGAAUAUUGCACAAUGGGCGCAAGCCUGAUGCAGCGACGCCGCGUGAGGGAUGACGGCCUUCGGGUUGUAAACCUCUUUCAAUAGGGACGAAGCGCAAGUGACGGUACCUAUAGAAGAAGGACCGGCCAACUACGUG
RNAcentral lists this ribosomal RNA (482 nucleotides) under uncultured bacterium. Its description in RNAcentral is "bacterial SSU rRNA". It matches the Rfam family "Bacterial small subunit ribosomal RNA", at positions 9 to 507 of the family's 1533-position model. The record is from RNAcentral.